UCUGGGUUUAUCCCAGCGGUCCCGUCAGAAAAAUAUAACUGACGGCGAGGGUUGCGCUCGUUGCGGGACUUAACCCAACACCUCACGGCACGAGCUGACGACAGCCAUGCAGCACCUGUGUAGGCUGGUAUUGCUACCUCGUCACUCUUUCAAGCUUCUACUACCCACAUGUCAAGGCCAGGUAAGGUUCUUCGCGUUGCAUCGAAUUAAGCCACAUACUCCACCGCUUGUGCAGGCCCCCGUCAAUUUCUUUGAGUUUUAAUCUUGCGACCGUAUUUCCCAGGCGGCAUAUUUAUCGCGUUAGCUUCGCCACAAAAGGGGUCGAUUCCUUUUACAGCAAAUAUGCACCGUUUACGGCUAGGACUAC
Molecule: unclassified non-coding RNA, 367 nt
Filed under: uncultured Verrucomicrobiae bacterium
Lineage: Bacteria; Pseudomonadati; Verrucomicrobiota; Verrucomicrobiia
Description: contains 16S-23S intergenic spacer region
Source: RNAcentral